GUGACUAUAAGUGCUGCAAAAAGUUAAAUUCAAAACAUCUAAAAUUUUGUAAAUUAUCGCAAUAUUACUAAGAAAAGUGAAAUUAUAAUAACUGGAUGCAAAAAUACAGUAGCGGAAAAUGAAAGUUUCUUCAGUAUUAAAUUUUCAAAAAAAUUUCGCCUAGUAUAAAAAUCGAAAUUGUAUUAAAGUGUUCUUUAAUCGCAAUGUGAAUUAAUAUCAAAUCAGCAACAGUUUUGAUAUGAAAUGGUAUUCAAUGCUAAAUACUAUGCUGGCAACUCAGCCGGUUUUAAGCAACUAUCGCAACAACACUGUGAGCAACAAUCCCACGUGCCGCAAUCCGAACUAUGUUCAACAAAAACUCGACAUACAGGUAGUGAUCUAAAACCAGCGACUACUGUGUGUGGGGGUGACUCCACUACAUCAACCUCAAUUACUGUAUCUACCGAUUCAGUGAAAUCGAGUCAUAAUCAUCAAAUCCAGCAUAUUAAAAAAAACGGAACUAACAUUAAUGACAAAAAAAAUCAAACUAUAGGCUGUACAAUUAGCUCUUUAACAGAAAAGCUAGAAAACCCGACAUUGGUGUCUAUUAAAAGAUGUGUUGCAUCCAACUCAACAACAAGAACUUCGGCAGUGACAUCCACCUCAACACUUCCAGCAGCUAGUUUAAAUUAUUAUGGCUUAGGUAUACCCAAGUCGCCGUCAAUUCACAGUGGACUUGAUCAGUUGGCCAGCAAAAAAAACGACUCUUACAUAAAUCGACCGCAUUUAUCAAAUGCGAACAGUUAUAAAGACAGCGCUAGCCCACACAUUGUUAGCGGUGACUUAACAAAGAAAGGAAUUGUAGUAACAAACAACGGUUUAAGAUUCAAUUUCACUAACAUUAAUGAAAUCAAAGCGAAAUUUCUAGUUGACGAAACGUCGGCUUCUGAAACACAUUUGGCUAAUAAUCACAAUUGUCUUACCUCAACAAUGUCACAGCAUCAACAACGACAAAAGGUCGAAAUACAGUCAACAGUGGUAGCAUCGCAAUCAAUUACAACAAGCAGCAACGUGUUAUCAGCUAUAACAACAAAUUCUAUUGGCUCAGCCUCUACAUACGUUUCCAACAGCACAUCCUCAUAUUCCUCAUCGUCAUCUGCAUGUAUAUCGAUUUCGGCCGGAACAAGUACGCCAGUUGUUGGUGGAAUGCGUGGUAGUGGCAUUGGCGGUGUUGUCGUUGGCGGGGUUGCCACCAAUAGCAUCAGCACUGCCAUUGUCACCUCAUCAACGACGACAACGUCAUCUUCACUGGUUGCGACACUGACACAGCACUUUUCAGCGGCCACCUCGGCUACUUCACUGCUUUCAACGGCUGCCUCAUCAUCAUUAACCACUAAUAAUAAGUCGUCGAUUAGUGCAGCCGCCGCAAUCAAAAAUAUUCUCAAUGCCACAAAAAGUGUUGGAAACUCGGCUGCAUCUGUGGCGACGGGACAAGCGACAAAUCCUGCAGGAAAUGGCAGCGCAAAUGUGGCACAAAAUAUCGUUAGUGGUAUUAGUAUAUCGUUGGGAAUUGGUGGAUCAGCGAACAAUAACGCCGGUAAAAACGAACUUUCAUUAUGCAGCGGAAAUAGUACAUCUUUAACAGCAAAAUUAAAUAAUAUUAAUUCGUCCCAUUUUCAAAAUGGCGACGAAGCGCACAAUACCAUGAGCACCGGUGUUGGUAACAAUACUUGUAACGGCGGAAUUGACGGUGUUGAUAAUAAUAACUGUAGCAAGGACAGCACAAGUGGCCGCGGAAUCCUAUCGCCACAAACUUUACAACAAAUCACUGGAAGUCCUGGACGCGCAAGAGACCGCAAUCUAUUCCAUUCACCAUCCACAACAUCGACGGCCACACCUCUGCCGCUCCUACGAGAAACCCCCGCAAAUGAACGUGAACAACUUUUGAUUCAAAAGUUAAGGCAAUGUUGCACGCUCUUCGAUUUUUCCGAGCCCUUAAGCGAUCUAAAAUGGAAGGAAGUAAAGCGCGCUGCACUGCACGAAAUGGUCGAGUAUCUCUCUAACCAGAAUGGUGUAAUCACGGAGUCAAUUUAUCCGGAGGCAAUAAAUAUGUUUGCGGUAAAUUUAUUUCGUACAUUACCACCAUCAUCAAAUCCCAACGGCGCUGAAUUCGAUCCGGAAGAGGAUGAGCCUACGCUAGAAUCAUCGUGGCCCCAUUUACAAUUUGUCUACGAACUAUUUUUGCGUUUCCUCGAAUCACCAGAUUUUCAGCCGAACAUCGCUAAGCGUUAUAUUGAUCACCAAUUUGUGUUGCAGCUGUUGGAUCUUUUUGAUUCGGAGGAUCCACGUGAACGUGACUUCCUUAAGACUGUACUGCAUCGGAUCUAUGGAAAGUUUUUGGGUUUAAGAGCAUUUAUACGCAAACAAAUCAAUAACGUAUUUUAUCGUUUUAUUUAUGAGACCGAGCAUCACAAUGGCAUUGCUGAACUUUUAGAAAUUCUCGGUAGUAUUAUAAAUGGUUUCGCAUUACCACUAAAAGAGGAGCACAAACAAUUUUUGCUGAAAGUUUUAUUACCAUUGCACAAAGCGAAAAGCCUAUCUGUUUACCAUCCGCAAUUGACUUAUUGCGUUGUGCAGUUUUUGGAGAAAGAUCCAAGUUUAUCGGAGCCAGUCAUAAGGAGUCUUUUAAAGUUUUGGCCUAAAACGCAUAGUCCUAAGGAAGUAAUGUUUUUAAACGAGUUGGAGGAGCUGCUUGAUGUAAUCGAACCGGCUGAAUUUCAAAAAGUAAUGGAGCCAUUAUUUCGACAAAUCGCCAAAUGUGUGUCGUCACCACAUUUUCAGGUCGCUGAACGAGCGCUUUAUUACUGGAAUAACGAGUAUAUAAUGUCGCUGAUAGCAGACAAUUCGCAGAUAAUUUUGCCGAUAAUGUUUCCGGCUUUAAAUCGUAAUUCAAAAACGCAUUGGAAUAAAACUAUACAUGGACUGAUUUAUAAUGCACUAAAAUUGUUCAUGGAGAUGAAUCAGCGUCUUUUCGACGAGUGUAGUCGAAACUACCGCCAAGAGAAGCAACUGGAACGUGAAAAGAUGUCACAACGUGAAGAGCUUUGGAUGCAAGUAGAGUCUUUAGCCAAAAGCAAUCCUGAAUGGCCUAAAAUGUGCGGCCAAAUGGAUAAUUUAAGUAUUUCAAGUAGUCAAAAUGAGUUUGAAGAGAAUGAGAAUUGUGAUCUAACUUAUGACAAAUUGGAACAAGAAAGCAGACAACCGCAGAUACAGCAACAAACAGCACAGGAAACUAGAGAGGUAAGCCAAAUAUUUGUUGUUGUUUGAAAAUAUUUAUGAGGUGGUAUAUAGGCGAAUUUUCCACACACCAUACUACAAUUUUGUAUUCAUAAUGUCUAUAAGUUUACUAAUAAUUUCAUCGAAUCGAUCUUCGUUACUCAUUAUAUGUAUAUAUUUAAAUAUGUUAUGUACAUUUAUAAGCUGUUAAUAUGUUCUUUUGUGGGGUGCAUGUUGGUUAUUUAUAUGUUACAGCUUAGCUACUUACUUCAAGUAUGCAAUAUUAGUUUAUAUGCACAUAUUUUUAAAAGUGUCUGGCUUUCUAAAAUUAAACAAGUUUAUAACCACAAAUUCUUCUUAAAUUAAAUAUAUAGAAAAUAAAAUUCAUAUAUAGUUAUAUAUGGCAUUUUCGAAUCUGAAUUCUUUAUUCGAAUUAAAUACAGACAGUUGAUUUUAUUGUGUAGUAAUUUGUACACAAAGAUUCAACUAACUCAAUUAUCUGCAGUCAAACGAAGAGGAAAUCCUUUACACGCAUUCAUUAACACAUGUAUAUAUUUGUAUAUAUUUACGGUGGUGUUAAUAUAAUCUGUAUUUGUAAAUCAGUUAAUUAUUAUUGUAGCAUCGAUAUUUUCAAGCAUAGCUAAAAAAAAAAUUUGCUACUUGCGAAACUACUCAUUCCAAACAGAUACGAGGGGAACGCAAUAAAGACAAGCCGUUGUUGCGUCGAAAGUCGGAUUUGCCAGCUGAUAGUGGCACAAUUCGUGCCUUAUUCGAACACAAGCGGACAGACGAUUUCUUGAAGACUCCUCCAGAUGUGAACAAAUAUUAAAGGAACUAAUGCAAGUGAACCCAAUACAAGAAAAAACCACUAUCUAUUGCAAUAUAUAACUUGAUACUUACCGUAGAUAUAUAUUAAUUCAUUGAAAUUUGAAAAUAAAUAUUGUCAAUAUAGCGUUACAUAUCUAAUAUACAUGCGUAACAUACAAAUAUAUAUACUAGAUUAUAAAGAUAUAUCAGUUGGGUUUCAGAGAUAACAUAACGUUUUGUAUUCGAAACCAAAACAUCUAUAAUUUUUAAGAAGUAAUUUGUUUUUCUUCUUAUUCGUGUUUGCAAUAGAAACCAACAAAAGUUGUUCCAUGAGAAACACCAGCAACAACAACCAGUCGUUUCUUCUUUUAAUUUUUUUUGCAUGAUAUAAGGUUUAAAAUGGUAUGUAAAAAAUUUUCGAUUUUCAAAUGCUAUCUAAGUCAAAUGCAUGGCGCCGUAUUUAAGUAUAUUCAUGCUAAUGCGUAUAACCAUAUAAUACGAAAAUUUUACUUUUUAAAUAUUACCAUUGUAAUAGAUUACGAAUUAAGUGUGAAACACACCAAAUGCUUAAUGCUGCAUAAAUAAAUGAAAAUACAAGCAUAAUAAAAUCAAUAAUUAAAAUUACACUUUAAAAAGAGUGUUUUGCUUUUGGUGUGUCUACAAUAAUUCUACUAAAAAUAACUUAUAAUUUAUUAGAACAUAUGUAUAACUUUAAUAUCAAAUUUGUGUAAUACGAUAUAUCUAUAGAUACCUACAAAUGUGUAACAGAGAUGUUGUUUUGAAUACGAUUCACUAUAAUGAGUAUUUAAUAUUUAUAUGAAUAUUUAAUUCGAAGAAACAACAUCGAUACGGCUCCGACUUUAUGAUACAAGUUAUUAAUCAAUGUCAAAAAUGAAACUACAAUAAAGAAAAAAUAAAUAUCAUCUUAAUUCUUGCUUGACUAUAACUUAUAUAUGGUUUGCAGUGCAUGUACUCGUAUACUUAUAUACUGUUACUUACUGGUAUAUAUGCCUUUGAUUCAGUGCAGUUUUGUAGCGCAAGAGAUAAACGCAUCGGUUUCAUCAACCGAUAUGGAAAGAGAGGAUCUUUAAAAGAUAAACGUCUAUAGAGUAUUGAAAAUAGAUUAUUGCAUGUUUUAAACGUGGUUUUGAAUUGAAAAACGACUAUGAUACUUUAUGGUGAAAUGUGUUACUACUUUUAAUACACAAAUAUUUAAAUUUAAGAAAGAUUAACUAUAUCUAAUUUAUGAAUAAAAAUGAAAAUUAACGAAA
Molecule: non-coding RNA, 5333 nt
Organism: Bactrocera oleae (olive fruit fly)
Lineage: Eukaryota; Metazoa; Arthropoda; Insecta; Diptera; Tephritidae
Source: RefSeq, a predicted model, not a curated record